RNAcentral lists this long non-coding RNA (214 nucleotides) under Elaeis guineensis (African oil palm). RNAcentral's name for it is "long non-coding RNA (EGUI_LNC041565)". Lineage: Eukaryota; Viridiplantae; Streptophyta; Magnoliopsida; Arecales; Arecaceae. The record is from RNAcentral.
AGAAUGGGCAUCGAGCUCAAGAUCAAGACAAGUGAAACAUAAUCAGCCUCGACCUCGACUGAAGGGUCUGAUCCGAGUGGAAGAUAUCGGAGGAUGGAAUGCAAUGGGCUGGAUAAAAGCUGGCUCACUGGAUGCAGAGGGCUUGGACUGGAGCUGAGUCCUAAUGGCAUCUAACUGGGAUAAGACCCCCCUCAUGAAAACUCAGAGCCCAUCA